GGGACACGUGGUAUCCUGUCUGAAUAUGGGGGGACCAUCCUCCAAGGCUAAAUACUCCUGACUGACCGAUAGUGAACCAGUACCGUGAGGGAAAGGCGAAAAGAACCCCGGCGAGGGGAGUGAAAAAGAACCUGAAACCGUGUACGUACAAGCAGUGGGAGCCUCUUUAUGGGGUGACUGCGUACCUUUUGUAUAAUGGGUCAGCGACUUAUAUUCUGUAGCAAGGUUAACCGUAUAGGGGAGCCGAAGGGAAACCGAGUCUUAACUGGGCGUUAAGUUGCAGGGUAUAGACCCGAAACCCGGUGAUCUAGCCAUGGGCAGGUUGAAGGUUGGGUAACACUAACUGGAGGACCGAACCGACUAAUGUUGAAAAAUUAGCGGAUGACCUGUGGCUGGGGGUGAAAGGCCAAUCAAACCGGGAGAUAGCUGGUUCUCCCCGAAAGCUAUUUAGGUAGCGCCUCGUGAACUCAUCUUCGGGGGUAGAGCACUGUUUCGGCUAGGGGGCCAUCCCGGCUUACCAACCCGAUGCAAACUACGAAUACCGAAGAAUGUUAUCACGGGAGACACACGGCGGGUGCUAACGUCCGUCGUGAAGAGGGAAACAACCCAGACCGCCAGCUAAGGUCCCAAAGUCAUGGUUAAGUGGGAAACGAUGUGGGAAGGCACAGACAGCCAGGAUGUUGGCUUAGAAGCAGCCAUCAUUUAAAGAAAGCGUAAUAGCUCACUGGUCGAGUCGGCCUGCGCGGAAGAUGUAACGGGGCUAAACCAUG
Molecule: ribosomal RNA, 770 nt
Filed under: Enterobacter hormaechei
Lineage: Bacteria; Pseudomonadati; Pseudomonadota; Gammaproteobacteria; Enterobacterales; Enterobacteriaceae
Also listed under: 3 other names
Description: partial 23S ribosomal RNA
Rfam family: Bacterial large subunit ribosomal RNA
Source: RNAcentral